CGGAUAUUCCAUUUUACAUGGAUAACUGUGGUAAUUCUAGAGCUAAUACAUGAACAAGUGUUCCAACCUCGGUUUCACGACCGAUGGAAGGAUCGCAUUUAUUCGUACAAGACCAAUGAUCCACUUACCAUACUUGCACCCUGUUUAGGAGUUAGGGACCCUUCGGGGCCCCGCUCCAAAUAAGGACUUGUAUGGGGAUCUAGUAAUUCUUCGGAAUUACAAUGCUCAAGAUGACUCUGAAUAACUGAGCAAAUCGUAUGGCCUCUGUGCCGACGAUGUAUCCCUCAAGCAACUGCCUUAUCAACUGUCGAUGGUAGGUUAUGCGCCUACCAUGGUUGUAACGGGUAACGGGGAAUCAGGGUUCGAUUCCGGAGAGGGAGCCUUAGAAACGGCUACCACAUCCAAGGAAGGCAGCAGGCGCGCAAAUUACACAAUCCCGGUACGGGGAUGUAGUGACGAAAAAUAACGAUACGGGACUCUAUUGAGGCCCCGUAAUCGGAAUGAGCACAACUUAAAUCCUUUAACGAGGACCUAUUGGAGGGCAAGUCUGGUGCCAGCAGCCGCGGUAAUUCCAGCUCCAAUAGCGUAUAUUAAAGUUGCUGCGGUUAAAAAGCUCGUAGUUGGAUUUCAGUCUCACCUAUUGGGUCCACUGAUUAAAGGGAACAGACGUGUAUGGCAGAGACCUUGCUGGUUCACUCUUAACGGAGGGUUCCUGUCAAGGCCCCGCAUCACUCUUUCCUGGUGGUUAUCUUUAUAGUGUGUCGACAGAAACUGUCCAAUAUUUGCUACCGAUGCUCUUCAUUGAGUGUCGGUUCAAGCAAUUGGGCCCUUUACCUUGAACAAUUCAAAUUGCUCAAAGAAGGCGUCCAAAACCUCGUAAGAGGUGCCUAAUCACGGUAUGGUUACACUUUCAUCUUCACGGAUGCAUCGUGUCUUCCAUCACCUUACCUUGAAUGAUCUUGCAUGGAAUAAUAGAAUAGGACCUUGGUCUUAUUUUGUUGGUCUUAAAGACACAAGGUAAUGAUUAAGAGGGACAGACGGGGGCAUUUGUAUUGCGACGCUAGAGGUGAAAUUCUUGGACCGUCGCAAGACAAACUACAGCGAAAGCAUUUGCCAAGAAUGUUUUCAUUAAUCAAGAACGAAAGUUAGAGGUUCGAAGGCGAUCAGAUACCGCCCUAGUUCUAACCAUAAACGAUGCCAACCAGCGAUCAUUCUGAGUAACAUUUACAUGACUCGAAUGGAAGCUUCCGGGAAACCAAAGUUUUUGGGUUCCGGGGGAAGUAUGGUUGCAAAGCUGAAACUUAAAGGAAUUGACGGAAGGGCACCACCAGGAGUGGAGCUUGCGGCUUAAUUUGACUCAACACGGGAAAACUCACCCGGCCCGGACACUGAAAGGAUUGACAGAUUGAGAGCUCUUUCUUGAUUCAGUGGGUGGUGGUGCAUGGCCGUUCUUAGUUGGUGGAGUGAUUUGUCUGGUUAAUUCCGAUAACGAACGAGACUCUCACCUACUAAAUAGACUUGCAGUUUAAACUGUAGUACUCCCCCUCAGGUGACCUGUGGGUGGUAGUAUCUUUUGAUCCUUCGGGUGAAAAAGCUCUACUACCAUCAGCCCGCAGAAUCAUUCUGAGGUAAGGAUGCUUCAGCACUGUAAGGACUUCUUAGAGGGACAAGGGGCGCCUCUAAGCCUCACGAAACAGAGCAAUAACAGGUCUGUGAUGCCCUUAGAUGUCCGGGGCCGCACGCGUGCUACACUGAAGUGGUCACCGUGCAAAAUGUUUCCUGCUCCGAAAGGAGUGGGUAACCCCUUGAACCCAUUUCGUGAUGGGGAUUGGGCAUUGUAAUUAUUGCCCAUGAACGAGGAAUUCCCAGUAAGCGUGAGUCAUUAGCUUGCGUUGAUUACG
This 1901-nucleotide ribosomal RNA is filed under the name Schizotetranychus brevisetosus. Its description in RNAcentral is "SSU rRNA". It matches the Rfam family "Eukaryotic small subunit ribosomal RNA", at positions 121 to 1649 of the family's 1831-position model. Lineage: Eukaryota; Metazoa; Arthropoda; Arachnida; Trombidiformes; Tetranychidae. The record is from RNAcentral.